This 495-nucleotide ribosomal RNA is filed under the name uncultured bacterium. RNAcentral's name for it is "partial 16S ribosomal RNA". It matches the Rfam family "Bacterial small subunit ribosomal RNA", at positions 29 to 506 of the family's 1533-position model. The record is from RNAcentral.
AUGCACGCUGGCGGCGUGCCUAAUACAUGCAAGUCGCGCGAACAGACGAGGAGCUUGCUCCUCUGACGUUAGCGGCGGACGGGUGAGUAACACGUGGAUAACCUACCUAUAAGACUGGGAUAACUUCGGGAAACCGGAGCUAAUACCGGAUAAUAUAUUGAACCGCAUGGUUCAAUAGUGAAAGACGGUUUUGCUGUCACUUAUAGAUGGAUCCGCGCCGCAUUAGCUAGUUGGUAAGGUAACGGCUUACCAAGGCAACGAUGCGUAGCCGACCUGAGAGGGGGAUCGGCCACACUGGAACUAGGACACGGUCCAGACUCCUACGGGGGGCAGCAGGGGGGAAUCUUCCGCAAUGGGCGAAAGCCUGACGGGGCAACGCCGCGUGAGUAAUGAAGGUCUUCGGAUCGUAAAACUCUGUUAUGAGGGAAGAACAAAUGUGUAAGUAACUAUGCACGUCUGGACGGUACCUAAGCAGAAAGCCACGGCUAACUACGG